CUGCGGUACUAGUGGGUCUAUGGGUCUUACUGCAGUACUAGUGGGUCUAUGGGUCUUACUGCAGUACUAGUGGGUCUAUGGGUCUUACCUUCAGUACUAGUGGGUCUAUGGGUCUUACUGCAGUACUAGUGGGUCUAUGGGUCUUACUGCAGUACUAGUGUGGUUCUACAAUCCAUUGAUCUCAUCCUGAGAUGUUUCAUGAUGAUCUCAGACUGAGGUGAUAUUUCUAAUAAUACUGGGUUGGACAUAGUCACCGCAGAGCGGAGGGCACAACUUGGCUUGUUCAACCGGUUAAUUAAUGUGUGAUAACAGAUAUGUGUGAGAUAUCAGACACUCCUGUGGUUGUGUGUGAUUACUUCAUAGUCUGUGGACUCUAGUGGUUAGUCAGGACUUAGAUACUAACUGACAUGGAACAGAGUCCAUUCCCUGACUACAGUGAAAUAGGCCUACCGCCUACUCCGGAGAUAUGCAUUGGCUUGGGACAGUGAUCCCCAGGAAUCUAUUUAAUUAAUGCACACAGCUUUUUCACUAAUAAAAUGUUGAAAAGACUACAUCACUAUUUAUUGUUACCAAUAUGACCAUUAGAAUAACAAAUUCAAACUGCUGUUUCAUCAUGAUAUCUUGUUGCUGUUAAUCUGCAUUAUAAGGCUGCGUUGAGACAAUGACUUAUUAAAGACCCAAGCCCAGCUCAGUUAAUCCCUACCAUUGUGACGCUGAGUUGUCAUAAUGCUUCAGGCAAAUGUACAUUACACCAGGGGUGUUGGUAGACACAAUGUACGUCACCAAAUAUAUGUCCCUCUAACUGCCUGAAAGCCUCUGUUGAUCCUACAGCUAUUGCCUGCAGUAAUCAUGUGCCUAUGAACCAGAGUUACACUAUUAGCACUAAGGAGGUGUGUCCUAGUAGGAAGACCACUGUUAACACUGAGGAGGUGUGUCCUAGUAGGAAGACCACUGUUAACACUGAGGAGGUGUGUCCUAGUAGGAAGACCACUGUUAACACUGAGGUGUGUCCUAGUAGGAAGACCACUGUUAACACUGAGGAGAUGUGUCCUAGUAGGAAGACCACUGUUAGCACUAAGGAGGUGUGUCCUAGUAGGAAGACCACUGAGGUGGUGUGUCCCAGUAGGAAGACCACUGUUACCACUGAGGAGGUGUGUCCAAUAGGAAGACCACUGUUACCACUGAGGAGGUGUGUCCUAGUAGGAAGACCACUGUUAACACUGAGGUGUGUCCUAGUAGGAAGACCACUGAGGUGGUGUGUCCUAGUAGGAAGACCACUGUUAACACUGAGGUGGUGUGUCCUAGUAGGAAGACCACUGAGGAGGUGUGUCCUAGUAGGAAGACCACUGUUAACACUGAGGUGGUGUGUCCUAGUAGGAAGACCACUGAGGAGGUGUGUCCUAGUAGGAAGACCACUGAGGUGGUGUGUCCUAUAGGAAGACCACUGUGUGCAUCUCACCCUGCAUUAAUAAAAAAAAAACACAUGAGUAUGUCUGUCUACCUCUGCUAAGCUUCCCAGUAAAGUAAUAAAAACAACCAAGCAUCCCAGAAAUGUGUUAAAAAUAGCCCGUGGUAAUAUAUGUAGCUUAAGAAACAAGGUUCAUCAAGUCAAUAAUUUGCUAGUAACAGAUUACAUUCAUAAUACCUUAGAUGAUACAGUGGUAGCAAUAGAAGGUUAUAACAUUGACAGAGAAGAUAGAAAUGCCAAAGGUGGAGGUGUUGCUGUUUGUAUUCAGAACCACAUUCCUGUGAAGAAUAGAGAGGAUCUCAUGUUAAAUACUGUUGAAGUAAUAUGGCUACAGGUUCAUCUGCCUCACCUAAAGCCCAUUCUGGUGGGAAGCUGCUAUAGACCACCAAGUGCUAACAGUCAGUAUCUGGAUAACGUGUGAAAUGCUUGAUAAUGUAUGUGACAUCAACAGAGAGGUAUAUUUUCUGGGUGAUUUAAAUAUUGACCAGCUUUCAUCAAGCUGCCCACUCAAGGAAAAGCUUUAAAGUGUAAAC
Oncorhynchus tshawytscha (Chinook salmon) is the source of this 2001-nucleotide long non-coding RNA. NCBI's taxonomy places the organism in Eukaryota, Metazoa, Chordata, Actinopteri, Salmoniformes, Salmonidae. The record is from Ensembl.